Musca domestica (house fly) is the source of this 538-nucleotide long non-coding RNA. RefSeq lists it as uncharacterized. Lineage: Eukaryota; Metazoa; Arthropoda; Insecta; Diptera; Muscidae. The record is from RefSeq and is a predicted model, not a curated record. The transcript has 2 exons.
AAACGUCAAACAGUCCUAACCUGAUGAAUGAUUGAUUGAUUGGUUAAUUUAUUAAAUUUGUCAAUGGAUUUUGGAAUGAGUAACGAAUGACCUAUGAAAAUGAAUUUUGAAGAGAAUGAUGACAUGGCAUAUUUUUUGUAUGGCAGACAAAUUUUCCAAAACAAAAAAGAAAUAUGAAUAACAGCCGGUGUGAAUGUGAAAAUUUAAAGUUGAGAAUGCUUGAAUGAACAAUGUAUGCAUUUUGUGAAGAAUCUCAAGAUAUUGAAUGUGAAACUAACUCCGCUCCCUUAUUUACUUGAACCCCUUUACCCAAUUUCUCAGAAGAUAUCCAUAUUAUUUGUUUGAAAACCAACCCCCAAAAUGUGAGGAGAAGGAGAAUUUCCACAAUUCCUGAAGUUGAAAAGAACUCUCCAAAGAUUCGAAUUUGUUUUCCUCUCGCCUUUAUUUCCCCCUUUCUUUCUGUAUAUUUUUAUUCACAUUUUUUUUUUCAUUCAAACCCUUCAAUAAACAGGAAAAAAUGCAUACAUUUAAAAGCAAA